This is a small nucleolar RNA of Echinops telfairi (small Madagascar hedgehog), 132 nucleotides long. Its record names the gene SNORA70. It matches the Rfam family "Small nucleolar RNA SNORA70". From Rfam's summary of the family: snoRNA U70 seems to be exclusive to mammals and is a member of the H/ACA class of snoRNA which contain H (ANANNA) and ACA box motifs. H/ACA box snoRNAs are involved in the conversion of uridines to pseudouridines (5-ribosyluracil) a constituent of structural RNAs (transfer, ribosomal, small nuclear, and small nucleolar). The record is from Ensembl. NCBI's taxonomy places the organism in Eukaryota, Metazoa, Chordata, Mammalia, Afrosoricida, Tenrecidae.
UUGACAUAAUUAGGUUAACUGCCCUCUGUCCUGUAGAAGCUGCCGUGCAAUGGCUGCAAAGAGCAGCCUCCUUGGUGGUGUACACGGCCUGUUAGCAUAUGUAAAGUUCCCUAAGGGGCCUCGGAGGCAGCC